GUCCCCGUAGUUCAAUGGAUAGAACGGCCGCCUCCUAAGCGGUAAAUCCAGGUUCGAUUCCUGGUGGGGACACCA
This 75-nucleotide transfer RNA is filed under the name Candidatus Woesebacteria bacterium RIFCSPHIGHO2_12_FULL_44_11. Its description in RNAcentral is "tRNA-Arg". It matches the Rfam family "tRNA". Rfam says of the family: Transfer RNA (tRNA) molecules are approximately 80 nucleotides in length. The record is from RNAcentral. RNAcentral also lists the same sequence under 1 other name. Lineage: Bacteria; Candidatus Woeseibacteriota.